Molecule: long non-coding RNA, 2628 nt
Organism: Beta vulgaris subsp. vulgaris (sugar beet)
Lineage: Eukaryota; Viridiplantae; Streptophyta; Magnoliopsida; Caryophyllales; Amaranthaceae
Exons: 5
Source: RefSeq, a predicted model, not a curated record
CUAAUCUUAAUUCAACGAUACAUAUAUACAUAUUUGCACAUAUAAACCAAUUUACACAUAUAAACCAAUUUACUAAUAUGAAAUUAAAGAAAGUUAAGUAUGAGUGAUAACAUACCAAUAUCAAGGUUGUAAAUAGGGAAAUGGAACUCAACACUCCGUCUCUAACACCCUCGUAUCAUUUGCACCACCAAAGCACCGCAGCAAGCUUUGCGUCCCCUCAUCUCUCUCCUUUUUCUCUCUCUCUCCUUUGUUCUCUCCCUUCUCUCUCCUCGUUGAAACCCUAGAAUUUUUGUAUAGAACACGAGUGAAAUUGUUGAGUACAAGUGAAAUCAUUGAGCAACAAAUUGAGGCAAUGAAUUGAGCAAAUGAUUUUGAACGAAUUGAAUCAAACAAACCCAGCAAACCCAAUGAAUUGAGCGAAUUUUUUGUCUCGAGUACCUUUUCUGUAAUGAAUUUUUUGGGGAAGAUUCCUUGUAUCAUGACCUAUUUGCGGGUAAUCAUCUACUUGACGAGAGCUACACACCCAGCAAGAUCUCUAUUCAAGCUGGUGAUUGCUUCCAUAACUUGAAGGGAACAUAUGAAGCGAAGAGGAAAGAAUUGUUACAUAUUGACUCGCAAUGUAUGUAUGAGAAAAGGCUGAGUAGAUGAUAUCCUAAAUCAUGUGAUUGAAGAUACAUCACCUUCAAACCCUACUAAAACAAGAAGGAAAAUAAAACACAGAAAGAAAGCGUGAGGAAUGGCAUGAGCGCAUAUGGAAUGAUUACUUCUCAAGCAACCGAUGUACAGUGCACAACAAUUUCGCCGAAGGUUCCGAAUGAGAAAAGAAUUAUUCUUUCGCAUUGUCAAUGCUCUUGAAAAUCAUUUCGAAUAUUUACAAGAAAGAUUUGAUGCUAUUGGUAGGAAAUCUUUGUCCCCCACUUCAAAAAUAUGUUGUUGCCAUUCGGUUAUUGGCUUAUAGAGUGGCAGGUGGUGCCGUAGAUGAAUACGUGUGAAUUGGUGGAUGUACGACGCUACAAUGCUUGAAAAAUUUUUGUAAGUGUGUGAUUGAGGUUUUUUAACCUUAUUACUUGAGAAGGCCAACAGUCGAUGACACCCGACGCCUUCUUCAAAUCGAGGAAUCCCAUGAAUUCCCUGGUAUGCUUGGUAGUAUCGAUUGUAUACAUUGGCAAUGGAAUAAAUGUCUCAUGACAUGGCAAGGUCAAUACUCCGGAGGUCAUCAAGGUGUACCAACGAUGAUAUUAAAAUCUAUUACUUCUUAUGAUUUAUGGAUUUGAGACGCAUAUUUUGGUGUUGUAGGAUCUAACAAUGAAAUUAAUGUCUUGGAUCCAUCCCCGAUAUUUGAUGAGUUAGUUGCUUGAAGGUCAAUGUCCUGAAAUCCAGUACACGGUAAAUGGAAGCACGUACAAUAUCGGAUACUAUCUAAUAGAUGGCAUCUAGCCUGAAUUAUAUGCUUUCGUCAAAACAGCAAACAUGUUAUCUGAAAAAAAGGAAACUAUUUGCUCAACAUCAAGAAGGUGCACAGAAGGAUAUAGAACGAGCUUUUGUGGUGCUCCAAAAGAGAUUUGCGAUUGUUUGCAACCCCGUACUUUUAUGGAAAAAGGGAAGUUGGUGAUAUCAUGAAAGCAUGUAUCAUAUUACAUAAUAUAGUUAUUCAGGAUGAAAGAGAUGAUACCGAAUUGACCACUAGCGUUAACUAUACAAUAGCAAGGAAUCAAAGGGAAAGUCCACAAAUUCAUAUUGAUCUAAGUAAAAAUUAUUAUGUAACCGGAGCAGAUACUUUUAAAAUCAUACGCGAAUUCGCAACCGAGCCCAAUAUCACCAAAUGCAGCACGGUUUGGUGGAACACAAGUGGCCGAGUUUUGGAGGAAACGCUAAUUAAAUUUCGUGUGUAAUUUUCAAUUUCUUGUGGUUGUACUUCUUUUAUAUUUUAGCAAUUAUGUAUGCAACUAAUUAUGUUUAUGCAUGCCUUUAAAUUAUGUCGUUAUUUAUAAUGUACUCAAUUUGUGUCUCAUAAUUUAUAUAAAUUCAAAGUAAGCUUAAAAUCUUAAAUAAAUAAUUACAUAAAUUGUAAUUUUUAUGAUGUAAUAGUCGAUAAAUAUUCGAACGUUUUAGAAAAAAAAAAAAAAAUAUAUAAAAUAAUAUGUUAAACUUUUAAUAGAGAGACUGGAGAAAGUUUGAGGGAUAAAGAGUAAAACUUGAAUGAGUUUGGAGUUAGUUUGAAGAAUAAAAAGUAGGUAAUAAUUAGUAGAAAGUUGAUGCGACAUAAUCUCGAUUUGAGUUUGAGGGAUAAACCCUUUGGGGGUGUUUGGUAAAUGGCUUUUUGCCUGGCUUUUGGCUUUUAUGAGCUUUCUAGUUUGGUCAAACAGCCAAAAAACAUGUUUGGUUUGUGGCUUUUUCGUUGGCUUUUAAGCCGACUUUUCAGCCAAAAGCCAAAAGCUACUUGGAGUAGCUUUUUCUCCUUGGUUGUUGGUUGUUUAAUAAUAAGUUUACCAAUAUACCCUUAUGGUAACCUAAAAAGUAAAAAUCAAAUGCCAUUCCAAGUUCCUAAUUGUAACACCCCAAAAUUUCUCUGAAAUUUUCGCGCGUUAAUUAUUAUUAUUUGAGUGUAAAAUUAUAUUUUACUAAUAU